This is a long non-coding RNA of Cucurbita maxima (winter squash), 1407 nucleotides long. RefSeq lists it as uncharacterized. NCBI's taxonomy places the organism in Eukaryota, Viridiplantae, Streptophyta, Magnoliopsida, Cucurbitales, Cucurbitaceae. The record is from RefSeq and is a predicted model, not a curated record. The transcript is spliced from 10 exons.
AGAUCUCAAACUCUCUUUCUCUUCUGUUCAUUUCUACAAAUGCUGAGUGGCUGAUCGGCGUUCUCUUCUCAGUUGUUUGGUUCCAUUGAAGCGGACCUUGAUUCUACUAAAAGCAAUCUGCCAAAGGUCCGAUCAGUUGUUUGGUUCCAUUGAAGCGGACCUUGAUUCUACUAAAAGCAAUCUGCCAAAGGUCCGAUCAGACUGCGAGGGAAUCUGCCGGAUGAAAAUCGUACUGGUGCAGGAGUAUGCUGCUGAUUGGACUUACAGAUGCGAAGAAGCUAUCAAUCCUGUCCUCGCUUAUCUGGAUCAUCUCCUCUUUUUUUUUUGAAUGUUAUAGGGAUACAAAUGGCUUCAAGAAAUGGAUCCCACUGCGUGAGUGUUUCAAACCUAAUGGCUUUGUCCGCGCAUAGGCAUCUUCUGUGGAGAGAUGUAGUCGUGCACGGAUUGUGAUGCUGCGUGUCGAAUCUAUGUGCAGCAUGUAGUGAUUCUGUUAUUGGAUUCCAACCAUGUUGAUGCUGAGGUCCAUGUCCUUGUAUCGAGAGAAUUCCUAAAGGCUAUUGAGAAGAAUGUCUUGGGUCAGUGCAGGACGAGUCAAUGUGCAUCGAGACUCUUUCCUCCUCCAAUCUGACCAUUCUAUUUUUUUCUCAAGCGUUUAUUGAUGAGUACUUAUCUGGAAGUCUUUACUUACGAUCUAUGCAUCAGAUAUCAGAGUUAAGGUAUAUGCCCACUGCAAUUCAUUUUGACUACAAGAUCUGGAUGCUUUAUUUCGCAGAUUUAGUCCGCUGUUUUAUUGUCCACUGCGGAAGCAUGAUCUUCAUGUCAAACAAAGGGAUCGAUGGAGUUCAUACGUGGCAUAUAUCUACUGACAACAUUUGGGUCAAGGUAGCAAUGGUUUCAUCAUUUGCCGAUGAACUGAUGAUUCAAACGCCAAGGCCAUAGACUGAAGAUUACUCCUUUCAGAAGCUAGAAAAGGUUCUGAGAGGGCGUGCUUCUGAAACUGGAAGGAAGUCUUCAAAUGACACUGGAGGAAUGAUCUUAGACUCGUCAAAACUGUAGUGGCAGUGGAACUGCCACGUUGGUAGUGCAAGCAGCAGGUGAUGAAAUCGAUAUCCCACCAAAAAACACGAUCACUGUCAUCGGCGAAGCUGAUCCUGUGAAGGUCAUCAAGAAGGUGAGAAAGUUCAGAAAAUAUGCUGCAAUUUUGAGUGUAGGACCUGCAAAAGAGGAGAAGAAAGAUGGGAAGAAGGAGAGCAAAGAUGUCAUAAGUCAUCUCCCAAAGACAUGUCGCAAGUGCGAUGUCUGAUGUGUUAUCAACAAAGAUGCUUAUAGUUACAGCUCCACUAUCUGUUUAGGAAAUUAGAUAUGGGUUUAAUUUAUGGGUAAUUUCUUAUCUAUCUACAUUGGCAA